GCCGGUGUGGCGGAAUGGUAGACGCAGCGGAUUCAAAAUCCGCCGAGGUAACCCCUCGUGGGAGUUCGAGUCUCCCCACCGGCACCA
RNAcentral lists this transfer RNA (87 nucleotides) under Marivivens sp. LCG002. Its description in RNAcentral is "tRNA-Leu". It matches the Rfam family "tRNA". Rfam says of the family: Transfer RNA (tRNA) molecules are approximately 80 nucleotides in length. Their secondary structure includes four short double-helical elements and three loops (D, anti-codon, and T loops). The record is from RNAcentral. Lineage: Bacteria; Pseudomonadati; Pseudomonadota; Alphaproteobacteria; Rhodobacterales; Paracoccaceae.